CAUUUAGUCAUCAUAGCAACUAUAUAAAAAGCUCAGAUGAUCUUAUGAUUCAAUAACAGAAUCAGUACACUGCAAUAAAAGAGAGAAAGAGAGAGAGAGCUGAAAUCAGACACAUCCACACUGAGAAAAUAUCUCACCAUAAUGGAAGGAGAAGUCUCAUGCUUGUGCUUGUGCUCCACAACUUUCAGCCAGAAACCCAAAAAAGCAAAACACAUUAAGACCAUUAUAGAAAAGAAGAUGCUUUAAAUUCAUUAGAUUUAGUCAGACUCCCAUCUGUCUCCUGUAAGGUAUAUAUCCACAUACAGAGAGAGCAUCAGAAAAAUCACCAUAUCCAUAGCUUCAAAUAACUAAAUAUGAGUAGAAAAUUUUGACAUUAAUAUGAUCUUAUGAUUCAUAAACAAAAAGAUUAAUAAUCUAGAGGGAAAUUGUUAGAAAAGUCUCAAUAUUUACGGAAAAGUUACGGUUAAGUCCCAAUUUUUUUUAACAUAAAAGCCCCGAUUAUUUCAUUUUGGCUCAAAUUAACAAAAAAGUCCUUUUUUUCUUUUAACAGGAAAUGACAUAUUACCAUGUAAAAUCAACUAACUGGGACUUGUCUGUUCAAAAAAAAUAAAUUGGGACUAAAGUGUAACUUUUCCGAAAAUAUUGGGACUUUUCUGACAAUUUCCCUCUAGAUUGCAACUUAGCAACAUACAGGAGUUGACAAGAACUGAAUCUGAGUGAGUAAACAUACAUGCAUUUUGUGUCACCAUGCAUCAUCACAACUGUAGAAAAAAGAUGAGAUGAUCUUAAUAUUAAUAUCAAAAGGAAAAGGUUAAUGAUAUCAUUUUUAAUUAAACAAUGUAAAAAGCUCCUUCAUUUCUCAUCGAGGAAAACCAGAACAAUUAGACAGAGUUGAACUUUUCCUCAUUACAGUAAAAACUACAAAUCAGAGAAUUAAUAUUUAUGAACAGAAAUAAAACUCAUAUAAGUGACACUGAUAUAUCCCUUUAUCUUUCAAACCACAACAGAAUACAUACAUUAAUUAAAAGUUUAGCCAACAAAAUAAAAAGAUGAAUAAUAUAUACCUGAAAGUGGUACCUAAACACAUGAAAAUAGUCUACAAGAGGGACAUCAUAUUCAGGCUAUUAGUCGAGUUGUUUUGAACAUAAUGUCCUUCCUGCAAAUAUGAGCAUCAAUCAAGUUGAUUCCUAAUAAGAAAUACGAUACAGUUCAUGAGAAGUAAAAAAUGGAAGUCUGGAUCAUUCAAUUCAAAGUUCAUUGUUGUAAGUUCAUGUACAGAAGAAUUAGUAAAAAUACAAAAAUGUGGGCAAAAUAGUCAUUUUACAUGGAUUUAAUGGAUAUCUCAGUUGCAAUUUAACAUCAUGUAUGAGUUGACAAGAACCAAAUCAGAGUAAAUAUGUGUGCAUUAAUUAAGUAAGUGCUACAAUAGUAAUAUUGUAAUAAAAAGCUCAGAUUCAAAAUUAAAAGUUUAACAAUGAAGAUUUCAAGAACAUGAUGAUGAUGAUGAUGGAAGUUCACUAGUAGUCUGCAAUGAAUAAAUAGAUAGGAUGCCUAGAGAUAUGAAAAAAAGAUCAGGUGAAAAAAGAAAAGACAAACCAGCUAAAAUGAAAUUUACCACUGUGCAAGAGUUGACAAGAGCAUAAUCAAUCUUUAGAUUCACAAACAAAAGGUUGAUGAUAUAGAUUUCAAGCACAGAAUGUUGUGAAUAUGCCUAGGAGUAUGAAUAUGAAGGUGAAUAAGGAAAGGCAAACAAGCUUAAUUAAUUGCAAUUUACCAGCAUCACAGGAAUGGGGCCUCUAUAGCAACUGCAAAAAAAAAAAAAAAAAUAUGAAAGUUUCAAUAAUCGAAAUUCCAAGUGCAAAAAAUGAAGAAAGUUCAUAACAUUGCUAUAAAUAGAUAUGAUGACUAUAUAAGAAGUGAAGAACUAAACUUGAAUAAACAUAUGUGUAAUUGGUGCCCCCAUAGCAACUGUAAAAAAACAAUGAAACUAUCUUAAUUAGGAUCCGCACAAAAGGUAAAUAAUCUCGAUUUCACCAUAAAAUUUGAACCAUCUAAAAUACUCCCUUGUUAAGGAAAAGCAAAAAAGGAACCUCUGACAUUCAAAAAUCAAAACCCAUCAAAGAAGAAUCAAGAACAAGACAAGUGACAGAUGAAAAAACAACAUAUGAUAAACAAAGACAUGAGUUGAAUAGACAUUUCUUGGGCUUGCUUCCUAAUGAACAGAUCCAAAAGGUCAUUAAUAAGCAGAUGAAAAUAUAUUAACAUGAAAUAGGUAAUCCAUUUAAAGAAGAUUAAUUUUACUGGAAAUAAAUGGAAAACCCAUAAAAUAGAAAUGAAUAAGAAUGGACAAACCAGACAAACUGCAGUUGACAAGAGCUGACUUUCAGUAUUUUCCUCCACUAUAUAUAGCACACCUGUAUUAUAAUAAAUAAGUUACAAGUUAUUAAGAUUCAUAAUGAAAAAAACCCCAGACAAGAAUUGAAUCUUUGGAUCCAUACAUGCAUUUGUUGCCACCAUAGGAACUGUAGAAAAAGAAUGAGAUGCUCUUAAUAUUAAAAUUCAAAAGGCUAACAAUCUACACUGCUUAAUUCUGAAUGAAGACUUGAUGAGAACUAAAUAUGAGUAAAAAACAUUUAGUCAUCAUAAGAUUCAAAAUAAAAAGGUUAAUAAUGGAAGAGAAGUCGCAAAUAACUUACCUAUAUAAUUAAACCACCAUAAAGACACUUCAAUAUCACCACCAUGCCUAAGCUUAUCAAUCUCAUGCUAAUAUUUUAAAUGAAAAUAUCACCCUCAAUUUUUAAAAAACGAAUACAUAUUCAACAUUUUAACAAAAUAUAAAUAUGUAUAGUGUUAGUGUCUUAAUAUAUUAAGUUAGGUUUUCUUGGCUUUAUCAGUUAAGUCAUUCUGUCCAGAUUAAACUAAAAAACAAACAAUCAUAUAUAGCUCUCCAGAUUAAGUGCUUAGCCCAUUAAGCCAAAAAGAAACACUAAAUAUACAUUCCAUAGCAUGAAUAUGGUACUAAAUAGUGACACUGAUGUCCCUUUAUCUUUUAAACAACAACAGAAUACAUUAAAAGCUUAGCCAACAAAAUAAAGAUAAUUAAUAACCUAAACACGUGAAAAUAGUCUACAAACAUAUAUGAGCAACACAGAAAGAACUCGGAAAGGAAAAACAUUUAACUGGAAACUAUAAAAAGGUGACCACACAAAAGCUUGCAUAAUAAGGGAAAAGAAAGUGAACUUAAGUUCAAAUCAGUAGUGAAUAACUUAGACUUCAUUACACUGUUAUAAACAGAUAAUCUAGAUCUGAAACAUGUAAAAAUAGAGAAGAAAUAUGACUGAAUGAGAUGAUCUUAAGAUUCACAAUCAAAAGGUUGUUAAUAAUCUCAGAUUUCAAGAACAGAAUCUUUACACUGCAACAAAAGAGAGAAAACAUGCACAUAAAGACCAAAAUGGAAACAAAGAUACUUCAAUCCUGUAAGGUAUAUAUAUAAUAUCCACAAAAUAAACAGGUUAAUUAGUGGAGAUAAUCACUGAACCUAUAUCAUUGAAGAAAAAUAACUGUUAUAUAUGUGAUAUCCCUUUAUUUCUACUCCUACAACAAAGCACAUAAAAAUAACUUGGAAUUGCUCAUCUAGAGAAACCCAUGAAGAAAACACGCUUGUAGAUGAAUAAAUUCAAAAAAUAAUAUAUUUAUAUGGGACAGAUAAGCCAUCUAACAAAGCAUUACGAAACAAGACACAUCUCUCAACUAUUUUCAGAAAUAUUCAUCAAACCCUCCCUACGAUAGAAGGGGAAAACCCCCAAAAAAUUUAUUCUGAUUCAUUCUAUCUUCUUGUUCUUAAUGAUUGACCAAGAAACCCAAACAAUGAACUUAAGAAGAUUAAAGAGCAGGAUCAAUCGACUAUCAAAAACUAUUUCAAAUAAACAAAACCAAAAGAUUCUAAAGAUUAUCUAUGCAUAACAUGAUGAAAAACAAGAAACUGAUCGAUAACCAAGAAGUGGAAAAACCCCAAUUUUCAAGUAGGAAAAAACUGUAUAAGAACCUGUUAGCCUUUCAAAAUGAAAACCCUCGGAAAAAAUCUGUCAAAGAAGAAUCAAGCUUAAUUAAUUGCAAUUUACCACCAUCACAGGAAUGGAUUCCGAGUAAACAUCCAUGGACUUUGG
This 4166-nucleotide long non-coding RNA is filed under the name Lactuca sativa (garden lettuce). RNAcentral describes it as "long non-coding RNA (LSAT_LNC006015)". The record is from RNAcentral. Lineage: Eukaryota; Viridiplantae; Streptophyta; Magnoliopsida; Asterales; Asteraceae.